GACGAACGCUGGCGGCGUGCUUAACACAUGCAAGUCGAACGGAAAGGCCCUGCUUUUGUGGGGUGCUCGAGUGGCGAACGGGUGAGUAACACGUGAGUAACCUGCCCUUGACUUUGGGAUAACUUCAGGAAACUGGGGCUCAUACCGGAUAGGAGCUCCUGCUGCAUGGUGGGGGUUGGAAAGUUUCGGCGGUUGGGGAUGGACUCGCGGGUUAUCAGCUUGUUGGUGUGGUAGUGGCUUACCAAGGCUUUGACGGGUAGCCGGCCUGAGAGGGUGACCGGCCACAUGGGGACUGAGAUACGGCCCAGACUCCUACGGGAGGCAGCAGUGGGGAAUAUUGCACAAUGGGCGGAAGCCUGAUGCAGCAACGCCGCGUGCGGGAUGACGGCCUUCGGGUUGUAAACCGCUUUCGCCUGUGACGAAGCGUGAGUGACGGUAAUGGGUAAAGAAGCACCGGCUAACUACGUG
Molecule: ribosomal RNA, 468 nt
Filed under: uncultured bacterium
Lineage: Bacteria
Description: partial 16S ribosomal RNA
Rfam family: Bacterial small subunit ribosomal RNA
Source: RNAcentral